RNAcentral lists this ribosomal RNA (402 nucleotides) under Bacteroidota bacterium. Its description in RNAcentral is "Bacteroidetes bacterium partial 16S ribosomal RNA". It matches the Rfam family "Bacterial small subunit ribosomal RNA", at positions 355 to 776 of the family's 1533-position model. The record is from RNAcentral. Lineage: Bacteria; Pseudomonadati; Bacteroidota.
UGGGGAAUUUUGCACAAUGGGGGAAACCCUGAUGCAGCGACGCCGCGUGAUUUAGAAGGCCUUCGGGUUGUAAAAAUCUUUUCUAUGGGAAGAAAAUGACAGUACCAUAGGAAUAAGGACCGGCUAAUUACGUGCCAGCAGCCGCGGUAAUACGUAAGGUCCGAGCGUUGUCCGGAAUCAUUGGGCGUAAAGGGUACGUAGGCGGGUAAGCAAGUUAGAAGUGAAAUCCUGUAGCUCAACUACAGUAAGCUUUUAAAACUGCUCAUCUUGAGAUAUGGAAGGGAAAGUGGAAUUCCUAGUGUAGCGGUGAAAUGCGCAGAUAUUAGGAGGAAUACCGGUGGCGAAGGCGACUUUCUGGCCAUAAUCUGACGCUGAGGCUCGAAAGCGUGGGUAGCAAACAGG